GGAGAGGUGGCCGAGUGGUCGAUGGCGUAAGUCUUGAAAACUUAUGUGGCGCAAGUCACCGUGGGUUCGAAUCCCACCCUCUCCG
RNAcentral lists this transfer RNA (85 nucleotides) under Candidatus Woesebacteria bacterium. RNAcentral describes it as "tRNA-Ser". It matches the Rfam family "tRNA". From Rfam's summary of the family: Transfer RNA (tRNA) molecules are approximately 80 nucleotides in length. Their secondary structure includes four short double-helical elements and three loops (D, anti-codon, and T loops). Lineage: Bacteria; Candidatus Woeseibacteriota. The record is from RNAcentral.